RNAcentral lists this ribosomal RNA (224 nucleotides) under Priestia megaterium. RNAcentral describes it as "Bacillus megaterium partial 16S ribosomal RNA". It matches the Rfam family "Bacterial small subunit ribosomal RNA", at positions 1 to 218 of the family's 1533-position model. The record is from RNAcentral. Lineage: Bacteria; Bacillati; Bacillota; Bacilli; Caryophanales; Bacillaceae.
UUCUUCGGAGAGUUUGAUCCUGGCUCAGGAUGAACGCUGGCGGCGUGCCUAAUACAUGCAAGUCGAGCGAACUGAUUAGAAGCUUGCUUCUAUGACGUUAGCGGCGGACGGGUGAGUAACACGUGGGCAACCUGCCUGUAAGACUGGGAUAACUUCGGGAAACCGAAGCUAAUACCGGAUAGGAUCUUCUCCUUCAUGGGAGAUGAUUGAAAGAUGGUUUCGGC